CCUACGGGAGGCAGCAGUAGGGAAUAUUGCACAAUGGGGGAAACCCUGAAGCAGCAACGCCGCGUGGAGGAUGAAGGUUUUCGGAUUGUAAACUCCUUUUGUUAGAGAAGAUUAUGACGGUAUCUAACGAAUAAGCACCGGCUAACUCCGACCCAGCAGCCGCGGUAAUACGGAGGGUGCAAGCGUUACUCGGAUUCGCUGGGCGUAAAGAGUGCGUUGGCGGGGUAAUAAGUCAGAUGUGAAAUCCUGUAGCUUAACUACAGAACUGCAUUUGAAACUGUUGCUCUGGAGUGUGGGAGAGGUAGGUGGAAUUCUUGGUGUAGGGGUAAAAUCCGUAGAGAUCAGGAGGAAUACUCGUUGCGAAGGCGACCUGCUGGACCGUUACUGACGCUGAGGCACGAAAGCGUGGGGAGCAAACAGGAUUAGAUACCCGAGUAGUC
This 440-nucleotide ribosomal RNA is filed under the name uncultured bacterium. RNAcentral's name for it is "partial 16S ribosomal RNA". It matches the Rfam family "Bacterial small subunit ribosomal RNA", at positions 338 to 795 of the family's 1533-position model. The record is from RNAcentral.